This 549-nucleotide ribosomal RNA is filed under the name uncultured Glomus. RNAcentral's name for it is "SSU rRNA". It matches the Rfam family "Eukaryotic small subunit ribosomal RNA", at positions 548 to 1098 of the family's 1831-position model. Lineage: Eukaryota; Fungi; Glomeromycota; Glomeromycetes; Glomerales; Glomeraceae. The record is from RNAcentral.
UUGGAGGGCAAGUCUGGUGCCAGCAGCCGCGGUAAUUCCAGCUCCAAUAGCGUAUAUUAAAGUUGUUGCAGUUAAAAAGCUCGUAGUUGAAUUUCGGGAUCAGUACGCCGGUCGUGCCUUCGGUAUGCACUGGUGUCACUGGUUUCUCCCUUCUGAAGAACCAUCAUGCCAUUAAGUUGGUGUGGCGGGGAAUCAGGACUGUUACUUUGAAAAAAUUAGAGUGUUUAAAGCAGGCUCGCGCUUGAAUACAUUAGCAUGGAAUAAUGAAAUAGGACGUUUGACCCUAUUUUGUUGGUUUCUAGGAUCGACGUAAUGAUUAAUAGGGAUAGUUGGGGGCAUUAGUAUUCAAUUGUCAGAGGUGAAAUUCUUGGAUUUAUUGAAGACUAACUACUGCGAAAGCAUUUGCCAAGGAUGUUUUCAUUAAUCAAGAACGAAAGUUAGGGGAUCGAAGACGAUCAGAUACCGUCGUAGUCUUAACCAUAAACUAUGCCGACUAGGGAUCGGGUGAUGUUAAUUUUUUAAUGACUCAUUCGGCGCCUUACGGGAAAC